UUGUGAGGUCACAGGAAAUAAUGCAAAUCUGAGAGCUUUGAGAACCGCAAAAUCCUAUUUGGCCAUGAAUUAUUAUUAUUUAUUUCAAAUAGUGAUUGCGAGACAUUAUCUUUCAUAAUAAUUAUCAACCUAUGCUGUGCUGGCCAGGUCCUGCACAGGAACGAGCACCCUCCACCUAGACACCCUCCAGUGUCCCUGCCAAGAAGAGUCACUCUCAGACUCCAUCUAUGUCAGGCACGUGCACAGAGCUGGAAAUCUAGGAUGCGUGGGAUUGCAUUUCUGUCUUAAAGGAGUUGAUAUUCUUGGAGAAUUCAGAAACUAAGCAGUCACAGCAGCACACGAUGGUGGCUUGGCAGAGGGGUUCUGUUUACUGUUGCCACCCAAGGAUCGAGACUGAGAGUGGCCACGACCACCUUGCUAUUGGCUGUACCAGAGGGAAACAAAGAGCAAUUGCAUGGUCCAGCCUGGACGUAGCCCAAGUCACCUCCUCUCACAGCUGAUUGGCCAGGACUAGUUAUGUGGUCCUGCCCUGCCCAAGGGGAGCCAGGAAGUAUAAUCCCACAACGAACCCGGAAGUGGGAAGAAUUGGAAUUUUUUGGCUGACGUCAGGAAAGUUUACAAUAAUGGGUGUUUGUUACAGUCCUCAUCAGUUCGUUUUACAUGUUUGAAUUAUGUUUCCUAUUUUGCCACACUGGGGUUGGGGGAAGCCCCGGUCUGGGAAUCAGGAGGCUUGGGCUUCACCGUGAGGAAAAGAAGGUGAAAGAGGCAAGGGUAGAGACGGCAUGGCUCUCGGCUCCAUAGGUCUGUUCCCAGAACACUCAAUGGGAUUGUCAUACCCACACUGAUGCUGCAACUAUCCCUUAUUCAGAAAGGGAUCUCCAUGUAAAUGACUCUGAGCAGGCUGACCUUCCUGGCUUUUGUUGAUCUCCAAGGAGGCUGGGUAGGCAACAGGAAGCCUGAUACAAAGAGAUGUAGUGCAUCGAGUGUGGGUCGUAAAGUCCAAAGUCUUAACUACAUGCCAGGUCUGCCACUCACACACUUCCUGCCACCUUGGUCAAGUUACCAUACUUCCAGGGUCUAUUUUCCUCAUCGGUGAAACGGGCAUAACAAUAACACUUCCAUCUUUGAAGAGCUGUGACAAACAAAUGAGGUAUGUAAAGUGCGCUGUAACUGUAACGUGCUAUACAGACGUUCACUAUUAUUAAUGACCUAAAUUUUGCUGCAAGGGAAGCCUCAGGCCAGAUUUACAUUUCUGGCCGACAAUGACUCAUACAACUUCCCUCACUAGAGCCACCUGGUUGACAAAAUGGGCCCAGGCAUCAUCCUGUGGUCCAACCGCUUGAAGAAUCUAUUGAUUUCCUCUUGUGAAAGUGAGUGUGGGAGCAGGGACUGAGCAUUAUUGCAGAUUCCCUGGGGAAUUUGAGGGGGAGGGUAUGAUUCCCAGGAGCAUGGCCAGGAUGGGGAGGGGUUCUUGGCUAAGAAGGAAGCCUGGGUCCCUGGGACUCAUUGAAAAUUCGAGCCAGAAGAGGAGAGGAAGGAGAAAACAGCUCUUUCAGUCCCCUCAUUUUCCAAAAGAGGAAACUGAGGCCAGGAGAGGCAAAAAGGACGGCCCUUUUCCAACAGCAAUAGCGAGUCAAGAGAGUUGGCAUUCACCUAAGGUCUUCAAUUCACUCAGAGUAACCAGGGCAAGCUCCUGCCAAAUACCUUAGUUUCCUCAUGUGCAAACCGAGGGGAUUGAACUCUAUCCCCAACAGUUAUUUCUAGUGUGCUAUUUUAAGAACACCCAGUUCUAUCACAUAUGAAAUGCAGUAAAACCCUCCCUAAAGGUGAGCUUUCUGAUCCCGGUUAUUGAUUUUGCAGGUCUGGCUCACAGGAGUUAUCUCCUGGCUCCAGGAGUUGUCCUUCCCACACACCCUGAAUGCUACCUGUUAGCCCUCCUCCCUAUCUUGCUAAAGAGCCCCUUCUCACCUGUAUUCUGUUAACCCUUAGAGCGCUGAUGCUCUUGACUCUACCCAUACCUAACAAAUAUCCCUACCUACUUGUGUUACUGGCCCGGGGGAUGGGGCCAGAAAAACCUUCAUUAAGCUGCAGAGAACACAGGACACCACUCAGGAAAGAGCUCGUGGGCACCUGAGUCCGGUCCCAGAAGUCAAUCCCAGAGGAUGCUUUGCACACCAAUAUUGCUGUUGAUAACACUUCCCCAGAGAUCUCAGGAAACUACACAGCCAGAUGCAAGGGCAAGCCUGACCUUACAGCAGGUGCAUCCUGCUCUGACGGUGCAGCAAACUCCGCAGGAGGACCUCUCAGGCCACGUUACCUGGGGCCUUGCCACUGAGGCCAUCACAGGCCCCUCCCCACAGCUGCUAAGUCAU
This is a long non-coding RNA of Acinonyx jubatus (cheetah), 2372 nucleotides long. RefSeq lists it as uncharacterized. The record is from RefSeq and is a predicted model, not a curated record. Lineage: Eukaryota; Metazoa; Chordata; Mammalia; Carnivora; Felidae. The transcript is spliced from 3 exons.